RNAcentral lists this unclassified non-coding RNA (296 nucleotides) under Hevea brasiliensis (rubber tree). Lineage: Eukaryota; Viridiplantae; Streptophyta; Magnoliopsida; Malpighiales; Euphorbiaceae. The record is from RNAcentral.
UUCCAAGUGUUUUUUUUUUUUUUUAAUUAUCUUCUUGUUUUUUUUUCUUGCUAGUAUGGGAAGGAAAUCGCAGAUUUACGAGAUUUGUUUUCUCAAUUAUUGUUUUUUUUGUUGUUAUUAGUGAAUAUUGGUGGAUCGCAGUGGGAGAGAAUUGAUGGGUUCUUGGGUUGAGGUUUGAGUGGAAUAAUGGUAUUGAUUUUGAAGAAGAUUCCCAUCGUUUUCCUAUAGCACCACCUUGGCUGCCUUUCGGUUUGAUGCGUCAGACCCUUAACACCAAAGAAAUUUUAGAAUCGAAU